UGAAGGGCCCAAGCCGGCACCUUCCCGUUGCUGUCCUGCUGCUCUGCACGGUCUGCUUCAACCCAGGAGGCCAUGGGGAGCCCCUGGUCCCACCUUCCUGCUCCCUGAACCUCUGGACCCAAGCUGGCUUCCUUGGCUCCUACUGCAGAGAGCAAGGCCUGGAGAACAGCUUCCAAUGGAUUACAUGCAAGGGCCUUUUGAGGAGAACUAGGGUUCCCACUCCCAGUGGCUCUUACACCUUUCCUUCACUUUAGACUUUCAUCUGUUCACCAACCCCAUGUCUGGGGUGCUAGGCUUGCCCUAUAGGUCCUUCUUCCGAUGGGAUUGCUCUAAGACCCCAGGUGUUAUGACUUGUGUCUAGAUGUCCCCCCAAAGCCUCAUGUAGUAUCAGUGGAGUUUUGUUAGAGUGGCUGGAUCUAGAGUGUGUGAUGCUGGGACUGAUUCAUGGUGCAAUGUUAAGAUCAAGAGCACUAGGAUUAAGGUAUGAGUGCUACCUGCCCUAAGUAGCCUGGAUGAAAUACAAGGGAUAGAAAGAAAUAUGGUUGUCCCAAAAACUGUUUCUUGUCUGCAAUGUCACCCUGCUAUGGCGCCAGUCAACUAUGAACUGAAACCUCUAUAAACUGUGAGCUAAAUAAACCUUUCUUGCUUUAACA
RNAcentral lists this long non-coding RNA (653 nucleotides) under Cavia porcellus (domestic guinea pig). RNAcentral's name for it is "lncRNA (ENSCPOG00000033605.1)". Lineage: Eukaryota; Metazoa; Chordata; Mammalia; Rodentia; Caviidae. The record is from RNAcentral.